UGCGUAGGGUGCGAACGUUAAUCGGAAUUACUGGGCGUAAGGCGUGCGCAGGCGGUUUGGUAAGACAGAUGUGAAAUUCCCGGGCUUAACCUGGGAACUGCAUUUGUGACUGCCAGGCUAGAGUGCGGCAGAGGGGAGUGGAAUUCCGCGUGUAGCAGUGAAAUGCGUAGAUAUGCGGAGGAACACCGAUGGCGAAGGCAACUCCCUGGGCCUGCACUGACGCUCAUGCACGAAAGCGUGGGGAGAAAACAGG
RNAcentral lists this ribosomal RNA (253 nucleotides) under uncultured bacterium. RNAcentral describes it as "partial 16S ribosomal RNA". It matches the Rfam family "Bacterial small subunit ribosomal RNA", at positions 524 to 776 of the family's 1533-position model. The record is from RNAcentral.